Molecule: long non-coding RNA, 890 nt
Filed under: Pan troglodytes (chimpanzee)
Lineage: Eukaryota; Metazoa; Chordata; Mammalia; Primates; Hominidae
Description: long non-coding RNA NONPTRT000604
Source: RNAcentral
CCGGUGUGUGAUGUUCCCCUUCCUGUGUCCAUGGCUUGCACUAAAGUUUUCUCCAGCUUCUGGCUCCAUCCGGUUGGCCACUGACUCCCAGUGGAAUACUGUGGGUGUUUCUCCUGGGAGGAAAGUCUCAUUGACGAGCAGCAGUCCCUCUCUCUGCCUCCCUGCCUGUGGCUCCAGGGGCCCCCUCUCCAUGCUGCUGUCUGCAUACUCUCUGCCUGUGAAUAGAGACAGAGUUCCCUGGGUCGGGAAGACCCCGUGGGAGGCAGUGUGGUGGGCAGAAUAGAGACGGCCUGGAACUGGCCUUCAUUUCGGAAUGAAUGAGUCCAGCUUUGAGCCCAGGAGACCCAGGAACGUGAACUGCAGCUUGAACACUUGAAGACUGGCUGACUUACUCUGUGACAGGACACCUUGUUUCCACAGAGCAGGCUACUCUGCCGUCACUGAGGCCUCUUAGGCGCAUCUGAGGCCGGCUGGAUCUGCCGGUCUGCCCUCUGCCACACAGCUGCCGUGCUGGGCUGGUCAAAGCUGAAAGCAGUAUUUGCAGAGAAAGAUGUGUGGAACAUUCUUGGAGCCCUGCUGGAUCAGGAGACAAACAAAGCCCUCUGGUUUCUGAAGCAGCGUGUGGCUCUCUUCAAGAGCCCACAGGUUCCCAUCCGCUGGGCAGCUGUGUGGUUUGCAGGUCAGAUUAUCCAAACCCUAGACUUGGAAGAGAUCGAUGAAAUUGAGGAGGCAUACACAGGUGAGUGGCAGCCCAGUCGCCCCCUCCUUGCAUCUUUUAGUGGCACCGGUGUUGGUGGGGAAUGCUCAGAAGUUAGGAAAAGUGAGCGGAUGGACUCACAAAAAUGAUCAUCCAGACGUGUGAAAAGGCAGGCUCAUCCCCAAGGUGCUUA